UUUCAGGGUAUUAACUUUCUUUAAAAUUAUUCAAUUCAAAAACGCUAAAUUAUUUACCACACAUCACUAUACUGCAGUGGACUAUGUUGAGCAGGGGUCUGCACUAAGUUUGGUAUCAAUAUGGUGCUCCUGGGGGAGAUUGGGACCACCAGGUCAUAAGGAGGGGCGAUCUGACCCAGGUUGGAGAAGGAGCAGGUCAAACCCCCUGUGCUGAUCAGUAGUGGGAUCAUGGCUGUGAAUAGACACUGCAGUGCAGCCUGAGCAACACGGAGAGACGCAGACUUU
This 285-nucleotide small RNA is filed under the name Danio rerio (zebrafish). RNAcentral describes it as "Metazoan signal recognition particle RNA (ENSDARG00000089845.3)". The stretch from base 63 to 256 matches the Rfam family "Metazoan signal recognition particle RNA", at positions 73 to 269 of the family's 299-position model. Rfam says of the family: The signal recognition particle (SRP) is a universally conserved ribonucleoprotein. It is involved in the co-translational targeting of proteins to membranes. The record is from RNAcentral. Lineage: Eukaryota; Metazoa; Chordata; Actinopteri; Cypriniformes; Danionidae.